GACGAACGCUGGCGGCGUGCUUAACACAUGCAAGUCGAGCGGAAAGGCCCUUCGGGGUACUCGAGCGGCGAACGGGUGAGUAACACGUGAGCAACCUGCCCUGGACUUUGGGAUAACCCUCGGAAACGGGGGCUAAUACCGGAUAUGACUGCUGGCCGCAUGGUUGGUGGGUGGAAAGUUUUUCGGUCUGGGAUGGGCUCGCGGCCUAUCAGCUUGUUGGUGGGGUAAUGGCCUACCAGGGGCGAGGACGGGUAGCCGGCCUGAGAGGGCGACCGGCCACACUGGGACUGAGACACGGCCCAGACUCCUACGGGAGGCAGCAGUGGGGAAUAUUGGACAAUGGGGGAAACCCUGAUCCAGCGACGCCGCGUGUGUGAAGAAGGCCUGC
Molecule: ribosomal RNA, 388 nt
Filed under: uncultured bacterium
Lineage: Bacteria
Description: bacterial SSU rRNA
Rfam family: Bacterial small subunit ribosomal RNA
Source: RNAcentral